RNAcentral lists this ribosomal RNA (491 nucleotides) under uncultured bacterium. RNAcentral's name for it is "partial 16S ribosomal RNA". It matches the Rfam family "Bacterial small subunit ribosomal RNA", at positions 29 to 507 of the family's 1533-position model. The record is from RNAcentral.
GUGAACGCUGGCGGUAGGCCUAACACAUGCAAGUCGAACGGCAGCACAGUAAGAGCUUGCUCUUACGGGUGGCGAGUGGCGGACGGGUGAGGAAUACAUCGGAAUCUACUUUUUCGUGGGGGAUAACGUAGGGAAACUUACGCUAAUACCGCAUACGACCUACGGGUGAAAGCAGGGGAUCUUCGGACCUUGCGCGAUUGAAUGAGCCGAUGCCGGAUUAGCUAGUUGGCGGGGUAAAGGCCCACCAAGGCGACGAUCCGUAGCUGGUCUGAGAGGAUGAUCAGCCACACUGGAACUGAGACACGGUCCAGACUCCUACGGGAGGCAGCAGUGGGGAAUAUUGGACAAUGGGCGCAAGCCUGAUCCAGCCAUACCGCGUGGGUGAAGAAGGCCUUCGGGUUGUAAAGCCCUUUUGUUGGGAAAGAAAAGCAGCAGGUUAAUACCCCGCUGUUCUGACGGUACCCAAAGAAUAAGCACCGGCUAACUUCGUG